UGGCAGCGAAAACCGUGAUAUCUGCAAGGAACGUUUAAAUGUGACACAUGAAAUAUUGCAGACGUGUAAUGUGCUUUCACUCAGUCGCAGCCUUCAACGUUGGAUUAUAUAACAAUUCUUAUCUACGAUAAGAAAGUUGUAAUUACGAAAAAUUUUUGUUACCGGAGGAUAAUUUUAAAACAGACUAUAUUUACCUGAACACAGAAGUGUGUAUAACAUUUGGUAAAUUAUCCACCAAUUUCUGAACAUCCUGAAACAAUUAUGAAAAAUUAUGGAACAAAGACAUGAUAAUAUACAGGAUACAAUGCAGCGUAAACAUGGAUUGUUAUCUUACCGGAGAGUAUUAGCUGGCUAUAAUGGAGGAGUUGUUUGAUUGAGGCGCCUGCCGG
This is a long non-coding RNA of Vollenhovia emeryi, 389 nucleotides long. RefSeq lists it as uncharacterized. The transcript is spliced from 3 exons. NCBI's taxonomy places the organism in Eukaryota, Metazoa, Arthropoda, Insecta, Hymenoptera, Formicidae. The record is from RefSeq and is a predicted model, not a curated record.